AAUUUACAGCAGCUCUUCUCCGGAGAUUUAAUCUGCCCACUGAGUAAAUUUUAAGGGCCGCGGUAUUUUGACUGUGCAAAGGUAGCAUAAUCAUUAGUCUUUUAAUUAAAGGCUAGAAUGAAUGGUUGGACGAGGUAAAAUCUGUAUUCUUUAAUAUUUUAUUGAAUUUUUAUUUUAAGUAAAAAUACUUAAAUUUUUUUAAGGGACGAGAAGACCCUAUAGAGUUUAAUAAUUUUAUUAUUUAUUUUGGUUAAUUUUUAAAAAAUUUUUAAUUGAUGUUUAAGAUUAUUUUAUUGGGGUGAUUAAGAGAUAAAUUUAACUCUUUUUUAGUUUUUAUAUUUUUAUUAGUUUAUUUGAUCCAAUAUUUAGUGAUUAAAAGAUUUAAUUACCUUAGGGAUAACAGCAUAAUUUUUUUAAAGAGUUCUUAUCGAAAGAAAAGAUUGUGACCUCGAUGUUGGAUUAAGAUAAAAUUUAGGUGUAGGUGCUUAAUUAUUUAGGUCUGCUAAUCGAGUCGCUUU
RNAcentral lists this ribosomal RNA (518 nucleotides) under Miobantia sp. 2 KML-2014. RNAcentral's name for it is "partial 16S ribosomal RNA". The record is from RNAcentral. Lineage: Eukaryota; Metazoa; Arthropoda; Insecta; Mantodea; Thespidae.